CCUACGGGAGGCAGCAGUGAGGAAUAUUGGUCAAUGGACGGAAGUCUGAACCAGCCAUGCCGCGUGCAGGAUGACGGCUCUAUGAGUUGUAAACUGCUUUUGUACAAGGGUAAACCUGAAUACGUGUAUUCAGCUGAAAGUACUGUACGAAUAAGGAUCGGCUAACUCCGUGCCAGCAGCCGCGGUAAUACGGAGGAUCCAAACGUUCUCCGGAUUUAUUGGGUUUAAAGGGUGCGUAGGCGGAUUGAUAAGUUAGAGGUGAAAUGUCCGAGCUUAACUCGGGAACUGCCUUUAAUACUGUUGAUCUAGAGAGUAGAUGCGGUAGGCGGAAUGUAUGGUGUAGCGGGGAAAUGCUUAGAGAUCAGACAGAACACCGAUUGCGAAGGCAGCUUACCAAUCUAUAUCUGACGUUGAGGCACGAAAGCGUGGGGAGCAAACAGGAUUAGAUACCCGGGUAGUC
Molecule: ribosomal RNA, 460 nt
Filed under: uncultured bacterium
Lineage: Bacteria
Description: partial 16S ribosomal RNA
Rfam family: Bacterial small subunit ribosomal RNA
Source: RNAcentral